RNAcentral lists this ribosomal RNA (467 nucleotides) under uncultured bacterium. RNAcentral describes it as "partial 16S ribosomal RNA". It matches the Rfam family "Bacterial small subunit ribosomal RNA", at positions 29 to 507 of the family's 1533-position model. The record is from RNAcentral.
ACGAACGCUGGCGGCGUGCUUAACACAUGCAAGUCGAACGGAAAGGCCCUGCUUUUGUGGGGUGCUCGAGUGGCGAACGGGUGAGUAACACGUGAGUAACCUGCCCUUGACUUAGGGAUAACUUCAGGAAACUGGGGCUAAUACCGGAUAGGAGCUCCUGCUGCAUGGUGGGGGUUGGAAAGUUUCGGCGGUUGGGGAUGGACUCGCGGCUUAUCAGCUUGUUGGUGGGGUAGUGGCUUACCAAGGCUUUGACGGGUAGCCGGCCUGAGAGGGUGACCGGCCACAUUGGGACUGAGAUACGGCCCAGACUCCUACGGGAGGCAGCAGUGGGGAAUAUUGCACAAUGGGCGGAAGCCUGAUGCAGCAACGCCGCGUGCGGGAUGACGGCCUUCGGGUUGUAAACCGCUUUCGCCUGUGACGAAGCGUGAGUGACGGUAAUGGGUAAAGAAGCACCGGCUAACUACGUG